Long non-coding RNA from Tupaia belangeri chinensis (Chinese tree shrew), 530 nucleotides. RefSeq lists it as uncharacterized. Lineage: Eukaryota; Metazoa; Chordata; Mammalia; Scandentia; Tupaiidae. The record is from RefSeq and is a predicted model, not a curated record. The transcript is spliced from 3 exons.
CGGACUGGACUGGAACGCAACAACUGCCCUGUGUGCCGCACUGUUGUCUAUCCGGCCUUCUGGUCGGAACGCAGCACGCCCAGUGCUCGGUUUGACGGUAGGACCGGUCCGCUCUACGUGGAGUCAGGUGCCAGGCGCCGGGUCCGCGGUGAAUGAAGCGGGCCACGGCUGUACUCACGUGAAGUGAAGUUAUAAACGAUAAAUACAGGCGCUACAUAAAAUCAAAAUAUUAUUGGUGUUUAAAGGAGAAACACACAUGGACACACAUGCUCUUGCUUGUCUCACCAUGCGAUGCCCUGCACUGCCUUGCGACUCUACAGCAAGCCCUCAUUGCAAGAAGACCCUCACCAGAUGCAGCUCCUCAAUCUUGGGCCUUCAAAAAUGAGGAAUAAUGAUGAUGAAGAAGAGGAGGAAGAGUAGAAGGAGGAGAAAGGAGGAGGUGGGGAGAAGCCCACCUUGUCUGGGUAAGAAACCAGGUGACCUGUGCAAGGGAUUGCCCCUUACUGUGCUGGGGAAGUACUCAGAGCUGC